ACUUAAAAUUUAAAAGACUUGACGGUGCUUCACACCAACCUAGAGGAGCCUGUCCUAUAAACCGAUAACCCACGAUUAACCCAACCCGCUCUAGCCAACAGUCUAUAUACCGCCGUCGCCAGCCCACCUUAUAAAAGAAACAAAGUGGGCCUAAUAGUACUACACUAAUACGACAGGUCGAGGUGUAACUAAUGAGCGGGAUAAGAUGGGCUACAUUUUCCAACAGAAUAGACAAAUAAAUCUAUGAAAUUAGAAAUUGAAGGUGGAUUUAGCAGUAAGCUAAGAAUAGAACUCUUAGCUGAAGCUAAUGCAAUGAAGUGCGC
RNAcentral lists this ribosomal RNA (323 nucleotides) under Aparallactus modestus. RNAcentral describes it as "partial 12S ribosomal RNA". It matches the Rfam family "Bacterial small subunit ribosomal RNA", at positions 892 to 1384 of the family's 1533-position model. Lineage: Eukaryota; Metazoa; Chordata; Lepidosauria; Squamata; Lamprophiidae. The record is from RNAcentral.